GUUUAAUCACAUUGUUUGAUCUGCAACCGUUUUCCCACAGAAUUCCCUGCUUUACCUGACCCUGGCGACCUUGAUCGGGAAAACUUCUACUGAGAUUCUUUUCCCCAGACGUGGAUUUAGCAGAUGAGGGCGUUGGCCCAUGACCAUGCUGCUACCCAGCCUUCGUCCUGAGAUUCGUCCCCGUCUGUGGAUGUGAGGACUCAGACUACUCUCGCCGGGGACCUUUGUCACUGUAGCGGGAGAAUGGUGAGAAAGCCGUCCCGCUUUGCAUGGGGGCUCCCACUGCACAUCUGGCACCCACCUCACAGGUGAACCUUCCCGCUCCUAAAUGAUGACUGGUAAGAAAAACAAGAUGUCUUUCUUGGUUAUAAAUUUAACUCUUCUAUGAUUA
This 391-nucleotide long non-coding RNA is filed under the name Mustela putorius furo (domestic ferret). RNAcentral's name for it is "lncRNA (ENSMPUG00000029819.1)". Lineage: Eukaryota; Metazoa; Chordata; Mammalia; Carnivora; Mustelidae. The record is from RNAcentral.